UCAGUUCAUAUGCAUAUCUUCAUUGUAGUAAAUCAUUUUUACGGAAUACUUAACUUUAAAAAAAUCAUUUUUAAAGAAUCAACAAUAUUUGUCCUUUUCCACGUUACUCUGACCAAAUAACUAAUGAGGCUUGUAUCCACUUUCACAUUUUACCCAUCAUUGCUAAAAAAUGUGUAAUAGAUGGUUUUUGGGAUGAUGCUUACAAACUGAUUUCUUCAGGCUUCCUAUUGAUCACUGGAAAACUGAACCAGGGUUACAAAAUAAAAAUCUUUAACUGGGUUUAAAAGGGAAAAUUGUAUUGUUCAGACUGGAUUGCUGGAGCGUGUGAUGCUGAUAAUCAGUUGAUAACAUUCUGAUUAGCUACAGAAAGGUUCUAUUCAUCCAUGAGGACAUAUACCUUGUUAAACUUUAAGUGCACUUUUCAUUCAAACAAAAGGUGACUAAUGAUGCAUGGUUAUUUUUUAAUAGGUUAGUUCAUAUGUGGUGGGAAGCAUACUGGCUGUUG
Molecule: long non-coding RNA, 505 nt
Filed under: Elaeis guineensis (African oil palm)
Lineage: Eukaryota; Viridiplantae; Streptophyta; Magnoliopsida; Arecales; Arecaceae
Description: long non-coding RNA (EGUI_LNC005473)
Source: RNAcentral